GGGCGCGUAUGGCAACCAGCUUGCGCGGGGAGGUAUGUCCUUACGCGCAAGUUGUGGCGGGUUCAAUUCCCGCCGCGCCCA
This 81-nucleotide transfer RNA is filed under the name Candidatus Saccharimonadota bacterium. RNAcentral describes it as "tRNA-OTHER". It matches the Rfam family "tRNA". From Rfam's summary of the family: Transfer RNA (tRNA) molecules are approximately 80 nucleotides in length. Their secondary structure includes four short double-helical elements and three loops (D, anti-codon, and T loops). RNAcentral also lists the same sequence under 1 other name. The record is from RNAcentral. Lineage: Bacteria; Candidatus Saccharimonadota.